UUCAAACCUGGCUCGCUCCAUCC
RNAcentral lists this non-coding RNA (23 nucleotides) under Mus musculus (house mouse). Lineage: Eukaryota; Metazoa; Chordata; Mammalia; Rodentia; Muridae. The record is from RNAcentral.